This 2916-nucleotide ribosomal RNA is filed under the name Vibrio parahaemolyticus. RNAcentral describes it as "bacterial LSU rRNA". It matches the Rfam family "Bacterial large subunit ribosomal RNA". The record is from RNAcentral. Lineage: Bacteria; Pseudomonadati; Pseudomonadota; Gammaproteobacteria; Vibrionales; Vibrionaceae.
GUUGUAUGGUUAAGUGACUAAGCGUACACGGUGGAUGCCUUGGCAGUCAGAGGCGAUGAAAGACGUAGUAACUUGCGAUAAGCCCAGAUUAGGUAGUAACAACCAUUUGAGUCUGGGAUUUCUGAAUGGGGAAACCCACGUGCAUAAGCACGUAUCCUUACCUGAAUACAUAGGGUAAGGAGGCGAACCGGGGGAACUGAAACAUCUAAGUACCCCGAGGAAAAGAAAUCAACCGAGAUUCCGAAAGUAGCGGCGAGCGAAAUUGGACUAGCCCUUAAGCUUUACACGCGUUAGACGAACGGUCUGGAAAGUCCGACGAUACAGGGUGAUAGUCCCGUAGUUGACGACGUGUGUUCAGUGAAAUCGAGUAGGGCGGGACACGUGAUAUCCUGUCUGAAUAUGGGGGGACCAUCCUCCAAGGCUAAAUACUACUGACUGACCGAUAGUGAACCAGUACCGUGAGGGAAAGGCGAAAAGAACCCCUGUGAGGGGAGUGAAAUAGAACCUGAAACCGUGUACGUACAAGCAGUAGGAGCAGGCUUUGUCCUGUGACUGCGUACCUUUUGUAUAAUGGGUCAGCGACUUAUAUUCAGUGGCAAGGUUAACCAUCUAGGGGAGCCGUAGGGAAACCGAGUCUUAACUGGGCGUUCAGUCUCUGGAUAUAGACCCGAAACCAGGUGAUCUAGCCAUGGGCAGGUUGAAGGUUGAGUAACAUCAACUGGAGGACCGAACCGACUAAUGUUGAAAAAUUAGCGGAUGACUUGUGGCUAGGGGUGAAAGGCCAAUCAAACCUGGAGAUAGCUGGUUCUCCCCGAAAGCUAUUUAGGUAGCGCCUCGGACGAAUACUACUGGGGGUAGAGCACUGUUAAGGCUAGGGGGUCAUCCCGACUUACCAACCCUUUGCAAACUCCGAAUACCAGUAAGUACUAUCCGGGAGACACACGGCGGGUGCUAACGUCCGUCGUGGAGAGGGAAACAACCCAGACCGCCAGCUAAGGUCCCAAAUUACUACUAAGUGGGAAACGAUGUGGGAAGGCUCAGACAGCCAGGAUGUUGGCUUAGAAGCAGCCAUCAUUUAAAGAAAGCGUAAUAGCUCACUGGUCGAGUCGGCCUGCGCGGAAGAUGUAACGGGGCUAAGUAGUAAACCGAAGCUGCGGCAAUGUGCUUUUGCACAUUGGGUAGGGGAGCGUUCUGUAAGCGGUUGAAGGUGUGUGGUAACGCAUGCUGGACGUAUCAGAAGUGCGAAUGCUGACAUGAGUAACGAUAAAGGGGGUGAAAAACCUCCUCGCCGGAAGACCAAGGGUUCCUGUCCAACGUUAAUCGGGGCAGGGUAAGUCGACCCCUAAGGCGAGGCCGAAAGGCGUAGUCGAUGGGAAACGGGUUAAUAUUCCCGUACUUCUUACAAUUGCGAUGGGGGGACGGAGAAGGCUAGGUGGGCCUGGCGACGGUUGUCCAGGUUCAAGUGCGUAGGCUUAAGAGUUAGGUAAAUCCGGCUCUUUCUAAGGCUGAGACACGACGUCGAGCACCUACGGGUGUGAAGUCAUUGAUGCCAUGCUUCCAGGAAAAGCCUCUAAGCUUCAGAUUGUAAGGAAUCGUACCCCAAACCGACACAGGUGGUCGGGUAGAGAAUACCAAGGCGCUUGAGAGAACUCGGGUGAAGGAACUAGGCAAAAUGGUACCGUAACUUCGGGAGAAGGUACGCUCUUGAUGGUGAAGUCCCUCGCGGAUGGAGCUGACGAGAGUCGCAGAUACCAGGUGGCUGCAACUGUUUAUUAAAAACACAGCACUGUGCAAAAUCGUAAGAUGACGUAUACGGUGUGACGCCUGCCCGGUGCCGGAAGGUUAAUUGAUGGGGUUAGACUUCGGUCGAAGCUCUUGAUCGAAGCCCCGGUAAACGGCGGCCGUAACUAUAACGGUCCUAAGGUAGCGAAAUUCCUUGUCGGGUAAGUUCCGACCUGCACGAAUGGCGUAAUGAUGGCCACGCUGUCUCCACCCGAGACUCAGUGAAAUUGAAAUCGCUGUGAAGAUGCAGUGUACCCGCGGCUAGACGGAAAGACCCCGUGAACCUUUACUACAGCUUGGCACUGAACAUUGACCCUACAUGUGUAGGAUAGGUGGGAGGCUUUGAAGCACGUACGCCAGUAUGUGUGGAGCCGUCCUUGAAAUACCACCCUUGUAGUGUUGAUGUUCUAACGUCGACCCCUUAUCGGGGUUGCGGACAGUGCCUGGUGGGUAGUUUGACUGGGGCGGUCUCCUCCCAAAGAGUAACGGAGGAGCACGAAGGUGGGCUAAUCACGGUUGGACAUCGUGAGGUUAGUGCAAUGGCAUAAGCCCGCUUGACUGCGAGAAUGACAAUUCGAGCAGGUGCGAAAGCAGGUCAUAGUGAUCCGGUGGUUCUGAAUGGAAGGGCCAUCGCUCAACGGAUAAAAGGUACUCCGGGGAUAACAGGCUGAUACCGCCCAAGAGUUCAUAUCGACGGCGGUGUUUGGCACCUCGAUGUCGGCUCAUCACAUCCUGGGGCUGAAGUCGGUCCCAAGGGUAUGGCUGUUCGCCAUUUAAAGUGGUACGCGAGCUGGGUUUAGAACGUCGUGAGACAGUUCGGUCCCUAUCUGCCGUGGGCGUUGGAAGAUUGAAGGGGGCUGCUCCUAGUACGAGAGGACCGGAGUGGACGAACCUCUGGUGUUCGGGUUGUGUCGCCAGACGCAUUGCCCGGUAGCUAAGUUCGGAAUCGAUAACCGCUGAAAGCAUCUAAGCGGGAAGCGAGCCCUGAGAUGAGUCUUCCCUGAUACUUUAAGUAUCCUAAAGGGUUGUCGGAGACUACGACGUUGAUAGGUCAGGUGUGUAAGUGCUGUGAGGCAUUGAGCUAACUGAUACUAAUUGCCCGUGAGGCUUAACCAUACAACACCCAAGGGGUUU